This 642-nucleotide ribosomal RNA is filed under the name Prorocentrum gracile. Its description in RNAcentral is "LSU rRNA". It matches the Rfam family "Eukaryotic large subunit ribosomal RNA", at positions 56 to 629 of the family's 3401-position model. The record is from RNAcentral. Lineage: Eukaryota; Dinophyceae; Prorocentrales; Prorocentraceae.
AAGACCUAAUGAUUCCCUCAGAUAAUGGCGAAUGAACAGGGAUCAGCUCAGCAUGGAAAUUGGGGCCCUCGGCCUUGAAUUGUAGUCUCGAGAUGCAUCGCCAAUGGAGGCGCAGAUGUAAGCCUCUUGGAAAAGAGCAUCAACGAGGGUGAGAGUCCCGUUUGUCAUCUGCAGUCCCCCAUGCACGGCAUGCCUGCUAAGAGUCGCGUUCCUCGGAACUGGAGCGUAAAUUGGGUGGUAAAUUUCAUCUCAAGCUAAAUAUUGGUUCGAGACCGAUAGCAAACAAGUACCAUGAGGGAAAGGUGAAAAGGACUUUGAAAAGAGAGUUAAAAGUGCCUGAAAUUGCUGAAAGGGAAGCGAAUGGAACCAGUGUUGCUUGGCGAGAUUGUCGUACGCAUUCGCGUGUGGUGGUUCUUGCCUUGUGUGUCAACGCCAGUUCGCGAUCGAGGAAAACUCCAGGGACAUGGUAGCCUGUCUCCGGGUGGGUGAAUGUGCCUGGUAGAACUCAUUUGCGGACUGUUCCCUUCGUGUCUGGUUGCAGUGCUGCUUGAUCUUGUGUUGGUGCUUGGGUGAAAGGCUUCUGUGUCUGACACCCUCGUCCUUCUGAGCUUCUCAGCGCUUCCCUGGCACAUAACGAUGACU